AACGUCAGCGCGCUUGGAUGACGUGGUAAUAAAGCGCGGCCUUGAGCGCGUGAUUUGUUGCCACGUCAGCAAAGCGCGCUGACGUGG
Molecule: microRNA precursor, 87 nt
Organism: Gossypium raimondii (Peruvian cotton)
Lineage: Eukaryota; Viridiplantae; Streptophyta; Magnoliopsida; Malvales; Malvaceae
Rfam family: MIR7486 microRNA precursor family
Source: Rfam